ACUGGAACCCGGGGGAAGAUGGCGGCAGCCGUUCUGAGUGGGCCCUCUGCGGGCUCCGCGGCUGGGGUUCCUGGCGGGACCGGGGGUCUCUCGGCAGUGAGCUCGGGCCCGCGGCUCCGCCUGCUGCUGCUGGAGAGUGUUUCUGGUUUGCUGCAACCUCGAACGGGGUCUGCCGUUGCUCCGGUGCAUCCCCCAAACCGCUCGGCCCCACAUUUGCCCGGGCUCAUGUGCCUAUUGCGGCUGCAUGGGUCGGUGGGCGGGGCCCAGAACCUUUCAGCUCUUGGGGCAUUGGUGAGUCUCAGUAAUGCACGUCUCAGUUCCAUCAAAACUCGGUAAGUCUUUGGCCCUUUUUUUUCUCCAGGGGCGUGUUCCCUUAGGAAGUGGGCAUAUGUACAUCUUUGCUUUCAUUGUCACCGUCCCCAGGAUUCAAGACCUCUCUCUAUUCCCAAGAGUGUGGAGAGUUACAUUCCUUUUGUGAGCUCACUUGAUUUGAACCCUACCUUUUCCAGCUCCCAGAUGUCCUAUUCCACCCUGGGAUUACCUCUGCUCCCUUCUUUCUUUGCUUCUUCCACCUCAUUCCAAGUAUUUCAGGAGUUGGAAACCACAGUGGAUCUGGGGAUGAAGUCUUGCUGUAGCCUAGUGAGAAUAAAAGAGCAGUCACUUUCUCUGAAGUCUAGCCUCCGCCCACUUAACAUGACUCUCUUCUUU
Molecule: long non-coding RNA, 708 nt
Filed under: Homo sapiens (human)
Lineage: Eukaryota; Metazoa; Chordata; Mammalia; Primates; Hominidae
Description: non-protein coding lnc-CXCL16-3:2
Source: RNAcentral